CACCGCCCGUCACACCACGAAAGCCUGUUGUACCCGAAGCUGGUGAGCUAACUCGCAAGAGAGGCAGCCAUCUAAGGUAUGGCCGGUAAUUGGGGUG
This 97-nucleotide ribosomal RNA is filed under the name uncultured bacterium. Its description in RNAcentral is "partial 16S ribosomal RNA". It matches the Rfam family "Bacterial small subunit ribosomal RNA", at positions 1388 to 1482 of the family's 1533-position model. The record is from RNAcentral.